This 253-nucleotide ribosomal RNA is filed under the name uncultured bacterium. RNAcentral describes it as "partial 16S ribosomal RNA". It matches the Rfam family "Bacterial small subunit ribosomal RNA", at positions 524 to 776 of the family's 1533-position model. The record is from RNAcentral.
UACAGAGGGGGCAAGCGUUAUUCGGAAUUAUUGGGCGUAAAGGGCGCGUAGGCGGUCUGGCAAGUGGAAGGUGAAAUCCCUCGGCUUAACCGAGGAACUGCCCUCCAAACUGCUUGGCUUGAGUCCGGGAGAGGUGAGUGGAAUUCCCAGUGUAGCGGUGAAAUGCGUAGAUAUUGGGAGGAACACCAGUGGCGAAGGCGGCUCACUGGACCGGAACUGACGCUGAGGCGCGAAAGCGUGGGGAGCAAACAGG